GGAAUAAUAUGUUUCUUUUACUGAAUCUAGACUAGAUCUCUGGAGCCAACCUUCUCCUAACCCAACUUAGCUUUGUAAUCCAUUGAGUUAUUCUCAUCUCCACCUAAGUAGAUCUUUAAUGACUGCAUCACUGUCCUAGUCUUAGGAGAAGAUCUGAACCCAUGGGCCUCAUCAGCUUAACACUUUGUCCAAACAAUAAAGAGGAGAAGCUUUCCCUGUUUGUAGCCUUAGUUUAAUAACUACAGUCAAUAUGCCCCCUCACCGGGUUAGGCUAUAGAAUGAAGUCACAUUUAUUUUGUUGUUCAAAUUAUAAUAACUGCAUUUUCAUCUACUUUCUUCCUUCCCUGUGGUGUUUCAUGCAAACACCAAGAGCCUCAGGAACUUGCUCAAGUCCAAAGAGCUUAGUCUUCAUGGGUACAUCACCAUACAGUGGAAGAAACUAGAACAUCUGUGCCACCACCUGACUUUAAAGUGGCUAAGUGUUCUCACAAUUGCCAAGCGUGGAUAGGGAAAUCACCUUUUUGUUACUGGAUGUUAAUUUGGAGGAAAUUAAAGAAAAGCAUACCGUCACUUAAAGGAGGAAGCUGAAGCCACUGUGAGAAGUGCAUCCUGAUAGGCUGAGGCCACUGAUUUCUAAUCCUGAGGCGGGGAUCCUGUUAGAACCAGGAAUGACAAGUAUAGAAGGACUUUCAACACAAAAUUUAAUGUCACAAGGCUGAGCCUUCAAUGCCACAGCCCUUUGCCCUCGCCUCUGUGAGAGGAGGCCUGAUUCUCUCCCUCCGUAUGUCUACAGCACAUGGGCACGCAGCGCCACCUAUAUCUCUCGGCUGCAGAACACAAGAAAACCUCUCUUGUCAGCCUGUCAUCAUACUGUUUAAAAUUUGCCAAACACUGUCCUAGGGGAAAAAGACAGAACAAAACAAAGCAUGUAUCUGAAUAUGGUGGCCAUGAAGGGACUCAGGGUUUGGGGCAGAGCAUAGCACAAUGACUGUGCUGUGUGUUCAGUGAUCUUGUUUUGGUGGCCACACCUUCCAUAUCGCCCUAUGUGCCUCCGGGUAAGUGGCCUGAAGAGAAUGCAUUUUCCAUAUGUAGUUCUUGUCUGCAAAUUUUACCACCCAGUAGAGGACGUGCCUGUCUGUGAAGAAUCUAUUAGAAAAUUCUACGGGCUGGCCUCAUGGUGUAGUGGUUAAGUUCAGUGCACUCCAUGUUAGCAGCCUGGGUUCGUGGUUUCAGAUCCCAGGCACAGACCUACACCAUUUGUCAGCCCUGCUGUGGCAGCAACCCAUAUAUAAAGUGGAGGAAGAUCGGCACAGAUGUUAGCUCAGGGCUAAUCUUCCUCAGCAAAAAAAGAAAUAAAAUUCUAUUUUAGGAGCAAUUCUUGAAGAAAGCCUUCUUAGAAAUUCAAAGUGGGCUUUCUAGAAAUGACAGCCAGCUUUCCACCCCCGUCUUAUAUAUGCUUUCCUAGCUGCAGGUGGGUCAUUUUAGUUUUACUACAAUUAUGUGAGAUGUAUUACCACCUCUUGUUUUAAAGAGCGAGAGUUUAUAUUCUGCACCUCUCUCAAGAUUAAGAGACAGAAUCUGAAAGUCUCAGUGUUUCUCAAAAGUGGAGGUUUGAGUCCGACUUACUUCAGAACCAUCUUGUGUAGUUGUUACAAGCGCGUAUUUCCAGGAUCUGCUUUUAACUCCUUGAAUCAGAGAGGCUAAGGUAGAAUCUAGGUGAGUCUGAUACUACGAAAAAUUUGAGACCAUCACUCCU
Equus caballus (horse) is the source of this 1756-nucleotide long non-coding RNA. Lineage: Eukaryota; Metazoa; Chordata; Mammalia; Perissodactyla; Equidae. The record is from Ensembl.